RNAcentral lists this ribosomal RNA (119 nucleotides) under Oncorhynchus kisutch (coho salmon). Lineage: Eukaryota; Metazoa; Chordata; Actinopteri; Salmoniformes; Salmonidae. The record is from RNAcentral.
GCUUACGACCACACCGGCCUGAGUACGCCUGAUCUCAUCUGAUCUCGGAAGCUAAGCAGGGUAGGGCUUGUUUAGUACUUGGAUGGGUGACCGCCUGGGAAUACCAGGUGCUGCAAGCU